This 253-nucleotide ribosomal RNA is filed under the name uncultured bacterium. RNAcentral describes it as "partial 16S ribosomal RNA". It matches the Rfam family "Bacterial small subunit ribosomal RNA", at positions 524 to 776 of the family's 1533-position model. The record is from RNAcentral.
UACGUAGGGGGCUAGCGUUGUCCGGAAUCAUUGGGCGUAAAGCGCGUGUAGGCGGUUCGGUAAGUCCGCUGUGAAAGUCGGGGGCUCAACCCUCGGAAGCCGGUGGAUACUGUCGGGCUAGAGUACGGAAGAGGCGAGUGGAAUUCCUGGUGUAGCGGUGAAAUGCGCAGAUAUCAGGAAGAACACCUAUGGCGAAGGCAGCUCUCUGGGACGGUACUGACGCUGAGACGCGAAAGCGUGGGGAGCGAACAGG